GGUCUUCAAAGGGUGUGGUGAAAUAUGAGCCUCUGGGGGAUGCGGUCCAGAAUAGCACAUACCGGAUCAACAGCUACUUGGACAACAAGUGCAGACCAUGGCCUGUCCACGAGAUCAUUCACUUGGCAAGGGAGAGGAUUGACAAAAAGUUUCACUACAACAUUCUUUGUUCAAAUUGUGAGCACUUUGCCACUCAGAUAUGACGAGCACCACAGCAAGCAGGGUAAACGUGCGGUGUCUAUCAUUGUGGCUUGGAUGGGAGUGACUUGUAUGAUUUGAGUCAUUCUUGCCCAAAGUUAUCACUGCUUGAAGAAGCCAUUAAAAAUUCCCUAGUUAGAGGCUGCUUCACAGACCAGCUGCUCCUCUGUGUGCCUCAUUCUCUCUCUCACUGGCUUUUGGAAGGACCAAUUUUAACAAGACUGAACUUCUUGAAGAAUCAAAUGAAGGAACCUAGUGACCCCUUCAUCAGAUAUUUCCACUACUUGAUUAUAGAUUCAUGAAUCAUUGGAAAGGAAGCAACUAUGAUUGAGCACUUGUUGAGUACUUCCGGCUGCACACCUUUGAAAGAGUCUCCUAAAAUCUGAGCUUCCACUGCAUUUAUAUUAUAGGGGUAACAAGGACGGUUUCACCAUGUUUUGCUGAGAUUAAAUGAGAUGGUGUAAAAUGGCUUGGUACAAUCCCUGACCAUAGCAGAUGCUCAAUAAAUUUGCUCCUUGCAUUUA
Molecule: long non-coding RNA, 722 nt
Organism: Macaca mulatta (Rhesus monkey)
Lineage: Eukaryota; Metazoa; Chordata; Mammalia; Primates; Cercopithecidae
Source: RefSeq, a predicted model, not a curated record